AGAGAUCUUUGGCAAGAUAGCAUACUGUAUGUGUAAAACAGCAGUUCUCAAAGUGUGCCUGGAGCAGCAUCAGCAACAUCACUUGGGAAAUGAGAAAAAUGCAGAUUCUCUGAUCCCACCUCUGACCUACAGAAUCAAAAACUCUAGAAAUGGGCCUCUGUAAGCUGUGUUUCAACCAGCCCUCCAGAGUUUCAGUUACCUGUGCUCAACCAUGGUCCAAAAGCAGAUGAUCCUCUGAUUCUGAUGCUACGUCAGAAGGUCAAUAGCAGCCUAACGCUAUGCCUCAAUGCCAAUGUCAUUCACCUCACUUCAUCUCAUCACACUGGGAUUUUAUCAUCUCAUGUCAUUACAAGAGCAGGACUACAAAGCUGAGCACAGAACUAUGACUAUUCAAACACGUUGAAGAUACAACAGAGAAUGAAUAGCAAUGAAAGACAGUCUUGACUUGCUGCCAAGGAGAAAGAGAAGAGAUGAUGAACGGCCGAUUUGAGACAACUACCACUCAAAGGAUUUAUAAGAAGGAAAUGUUCUACAUUACUCAAGAAGAACAGAACAUGAGUUCAUUACACCCAUUGCAUCUUUUAGAUAGGGCUAAACUCUCAGAUUUUGAAUGCUGUCUUUGAUAAGCAUAGCUAGCUGUACUGUUGUCAUAGCUCAAGACUCAAGUACUGAUUUAUGCCUUGACCCUAAGUAACAUUCUGAAAAUGCUACUAAAUUUGAGAUCCUGAUUUGGAAGUCAAGAAUUGUAUGAUGUAACAUAAUUUUGAAGUCUAAAUACCAGUUAUUCUUGAAAACAAAACAAAACAAAAACACAGCUCCAAAGGCUGGCAAUUAAUCGUCAACAUCAACAUGUGUUUAUUAAGCCCUGCUUUGAGAGCUAUAAAAUAUAUAUUAGAACGUCUCUAUUUUAAGAAGCUCACAAACUUUCUGUAAUAAAGGUAAAGUUUAUUCUCUUCACGAACAGGGCUCCUUGCUAGUAUAUAUGCAUUGUUUAAAGCACAUUCUUCUAGGUUAUUUCAUUCUAUGGGGACUCUGAGUCUUUCAUUGCCUUUGAACUAUUUUACAACACUGUAAAUUGUAGAUAACCGAUAGCAGUACAAAAGAAUUCUCCUCUAUAGAUAUGCAAAUAAAUUCUGUCCAGCGGAAGUUCAAAG
RNAcentral lists this long non-coding RNA (1154 nucleotides) under Equus asinus (donkey). RNAcentral describes it as "lncRNA (ENSEASG00005023662.1)". Lineage: Eukaryota; Metazoa; Chordata; Mammalia; Perissodactyla; Equidae. The record is from RNAcentral.